UCUUUAUUUCACACGCUCUCUCACCGGUCAGCGAGGCGAGAGAGAGAGUGUGUGAAAUGAAGAGA
Molecule: microRNA precursor, 65 nt
Filed under: Pristionchus pacificus
Lineage: Eukaryota; Metazoa; Nematoda; Chromadorea; Rhabditida; Neodiplogasteridae
Description: mir-8364 microRNA precursor family
Rfam family: mir-8364 microRNA precursor family
Source: Rfam by way of RNAcentral